Molecule: transfer RNA, 70 nt
Filed under: Sphaerodactylus townsendi
Lineage: Eukaryota; Metazoa; Chordata; Lepidosauria; Squamata; Sphaerodactylidae
Description: tRNA-Ala
Source: RNAcentral
GACUAUGGCUCAGUGACAGAAUGUCUGUUUGGCAUGCAGAAGGCCCUGGGUUCAAAGCACGGCAUAUCCA